CCUACGGGUGGCAGCAGUGGGGGAUAUUGCACAAUGGGGGGAACCCUGAUGCAGCGACGCCGCGUGGGUGAAGGAGGGUUUCGGCGCGUAAAGCCCUAUCGGCAGGGAAGAAGAGGACGGUACCUGACCAAGAAGCCCCGGCUAACGACGGGCCCGCAGCCGCGGUAAUACGGAGGGGGCAAGCGUGAUCCGGAUUUACUGGGUGUAAAGGGGGCGCAGACGGCAAUGCCAGCCAGGAGUGAAAGCCCGGGGCCCCACCCCGGGACUGCUCUUGGAACUGCAUGGCUGGAGUACAGGAGGGGCAGGCGGAAUUCCUCGUGUAGCGGUGAAAUGCGUAGAUAUUAGGAGGA
Molecule: ribosomal RNA, 350 nt
Filed under: uncultured bacterium
Lineage: Bacteria
Description: partial 16S ribosomal RNA
Rfam family: Bacterial small subunit ribosomal RNA
Source: RNAcentral